GGGCAGGAGCGCGGAUCCUGGGCUGUGUCCCCGGCGCCCAGUGCUCCCGGGCCUGUGCUGUUGGAUUCGUGCUCCGGGUCAUGCAUCCCCCU
This 92-nucleotide microRNA precursor is filed under the name Canis lupus dingo (dingo). Its description in RNAcentral is "mir-8799 microRNA precursor family". It matches the Rfam family "mir-8799 microRNA precursor family". Lineage: Eukaryota; Metazoa; Chordata; Mammalia; Carnivora; Canidae. The record is from Rfam by way of RNAcentral.